Molecule: RNase P RNA, 388 nt
Filed under: Polaromonas sp.
Lineage: Bacteria; Pseudomonadati; Pseudomonadota; Betaproteobacteria; Burkholderiales; Comamonadaceae
Description: RNase P RNA component class A
Rfam family: Bacterial RNase P class A
About the family: Ribonuclease P (RNase P) is a ubiquitous endoribonuclease, found in archaea, bacteria and eukarya as well as chloroplasts and mitochondria.
Source: RNAcentral
GAAGCCUGCCAGACCGCCGCUGGUGCAUAGCUGAAAAGCCGACGCGAAAGCAUCGGGUCGAAAGAUCGCACUGGAGGAACGUCCGGACUGCACAGGACAGCGUAGGAGGUAACACCUCUCCACCGUGAGGUGAGGAUCAGAGCAACAGAGACGAGCCGGUUAAGUCCGGGUGAAACGGGCAAUCUCUACGCGCAGCAACACCAAAUAGGCCAGCCCAGGAGGGCGGCGGUUCGCCGCUGUUUUCUUGACUUGUGGUUCCGCAAGCCGUGCUGGCGGGUAGGUGGCACCGAGCCGGGCAGGCGACUCCCGGCCCAGAUUAAUGGCGGUCACACGGGCAACCGAAAGGAAGCCCGGCGCACAAAAUCCGGCUUAUCGGCAGGCUUCACAC